RNAcentral lists this ribosomal RNA (791 nucleotides) under uncultured bacterium. RNAcentral's name for it is "bacterial SSU rRNA". It matches the Rfam family "Bacterial small subunit ribosomal RNA", at positions 8 to 796 of the family's 1533-position model. The record is from RNAcentral.
AGAGUUUGAUCAUGGCUCAGAACGAACGCUGGCGGCGUGCCUAACACAUGCAAGUCGCACGAGAAAGCCCUUCGGGGUGAGUAGAGUGGCGCACGGGUGAGUAAUACGUAGGAACGUACCCUUCGGUGGGGGAUAACCACGGGAAACUGUGGCUAAUACCGCAUGACAAGGCAACUUUAAAGCAGGCCUCUACUUGUAAGCUUGUGCCGGGGGAUCGGCCUACGUCCCAUUAGCUAGUUGGUGAGGUAAUGGCUCACCAAGGCAACGAUGGGUAGCUGGUCUGAGAGGAUGAUCAGCCACACUGGGACUGAGACACGGCCCAGACUCCUACGGGAGGCAGCAGUGGGGAAUUUUGCACAAUGGGCGCAAGCCUGAUGCAGCAACGCCGCGUGAGUGAAGAAGGCUCUUGGGUUGUAAAGCUCUUUCGGCAGGAAAGAAGGGCUUCUAGGCGAAUAGGCUAGAAGUCUGACGGUACCUGAAGAAGAAGCACCGGCUAACUCCGUGCCAGCAGCCGCGGUAAUACGGAGGGUGUAAGCGUUGUUCGGAAUUACUGGGCGUAAAGCGCACGUAGGCGGGUCUUCAAGUCGAUUGUGAAAGCCCAGGGCUUAACUCUGGACGUGCAGUCGAUACUGUUGAUCUUGAAUACCUGAGAGGAUGGCGGAAUUCCCGGUAGGAGUGAAAUCCGUAGAUAUCGGGAGGAACAUCUGAGGCGAAGGCGGCCAUCUGGCAGUGUAUUGACGCUGAGGUGCGAAAGCGUGGGGAGCAAACAGGAUUAGAUACCCUAGUAGUCC